AUGGAGAUUGACUGCCUGGAGCUAGUUGAUCUAUGGAAAUCGCGCAGUAACACAAGAUCAGUUGCUGCGCCUAUCUUGAAUGAUUUAGAGGAAAUUGGUGCUACCUUUGCUUCUCUUUCGGUUACUCAUGUUAGUAGGGAAGCUAAUAUGCCGGCGCAUCAGUGUGCUCGUCUAGCUAGUACACUGGAUGGCACCGAGAGUUGGCUUGAUGCAAGCCCUGAUUUUUUGGUUUCUUGUCUGCGGGCUGAUUGUAACACUACGAUACUACGUUAA
Molecule: ribosomal RNA, 273 nt
Filed under: Triticum aestivum (bread wheat)
Lineage: Eukaryota; Viridiplantae; Streptophyta; Magnoliopsida; Poales; Poaceae
Description: partial small subunit ribosomal RNA
Source: RNAcentral